GAUGGAAGAGGGGAUGAGGAAAGAGAGAGGGUUUGUUCUCUGAAGAGAUUCUGAGCUGUACAGCUGGUGAGAGAACGAGAAAGAUAGCGACAGAGCGAGAGAGAGAGAGAGUGAGAGCGUGAGAGUGAGAGAGAGAGAGAGAGCAUGAGAGGGUUGACUGUUUUUCCGAGUUGCAGCGUGUCGCAUGGAUCGGGAUAUACAGGAGAGAGGAUACGACAUUCUGGGAUUCUGUGAUUCCAAACGGAAGGAUACAGUAAACUACGGAAGGAUACAGUAAACUAUGGAAGGAUACGGUAAACUACGGAAGGAUACGAUGAACAACAACAACAAGUCCCUCUUUCUAUCCGGCUCGUGAUUCGACCCACCAAGGGAACCAGGAAUCUUCGGGGGAAAAAAAAUGAGGAUUAUUAUAUAUAAUAUGAAGAAGGAAUAUUCCAGAAAAGUUUAUGAUACUGGGAAUAGUUUUGGAAUGUGGAACGUCAGGAAGGAUUCCCUAAAGAGGGAUAAAAGAGGAGAGAGAGAAAAAAGAGGGCUGCUAACAUUAUAGAGGGAUAGAGGGAGGAAACGACUGUAGGAAAGGAGGAGAGAGACAGAGGAGAGGGAGGAAACGACUGUAGGAAAGAAGGAGAGAGACAGAGGAGAGGGAGGAAACGACUGUAGGAAAGAAGGAGAGAGACAGAGGAGAGGGAGGAAACGACUGUAGGAAAGAAGGAGAGAGACAGAGGAGAGGGAGGAAACGACCGAAGGAGAGAAACAGAGGAAAGGUAGGAAACGACUUAAGGAAAGGAGGAAAGAGACAGAGGAGAGGGAAGAAAGAGAUUGACAUACUGCCCGAUCAUGAUCUGUCUCUCCUUCGUUCCAUGAUAUUACAUCCCCACAAGAAUUCUCAGAUUCCCUUAACAGGAUAUGGCGAACAGAAAAGAACUGCUCCUUAUUUAGUGAGUUUCUGAAUAAUGGGAUUGAGUGAAAAUAUUUUUUUCCCCUGGAACUAAACGAUAUAAUGGGAUCGUGGAGUGUGUGACUCAGACCCCAAAUCCCCCUCUUUGAUGUGUGUUGGAAGGGAGACACAUUUUGUUCAGAGUACACACAUACGCACACCAGGAGAAAACACCUGGGGCUGGAAUCUAUGCUGCACACACCUGUCUGGAAGAUAUAGCUGAUUUGGAGUUUGAAGUGACACUGACAGAAAAGAGUGGCCGGACUGCCCUGAUCUGCCAGGGUGCCCGGCCUGUCAGGAUCAGCCCGAGUGGUCCUCCUGCCCUCCGGUCCAGCCCGAGUGGUCCUCCU
Molecule: long non-coding RNA, 1287 nt
Filed under: Salmo salar (Atlantic salmon)
Lineage: Eukaryota; Metazoa; Chordata; Actinopteri; Salmoniformes; Salmonidae
Description: lncRNA (ENSSSAG00000112636.1)
Source: RNAcentral